UGGGGAAUAUUGGACAAUGGGCGAAAGCCUGAUCCAGCCAUGCCGCGUGUGUGAAGAAGGUCUUCGGAUUGUAAAGCACUUUAAGUUGGGAGGAAGGGUUGUAGAUUAAUACUCUGCAAUUUUGACGUUACCGACAGAAUAAGCACCGGCUAACUCUGUGCCAGCAGCCGCGGUAAUACAGAGGGUGCAAGCGUUAAUCGGAAUUACUGGGCGUAAAGCGCGCGUAGGUGGUUAGUUAAGUUGGAUGUGAAAUCCCCGGGCUCAACCUGGGAACUGCAUUCAAAACUGACUGACUAGAGUAUGGUAGAGGGUGGUGGAAUUUCCUGUGUAGCGGUGAAAUGCGUAGAUAUAGGAAGGAACACCAGUGGCGAAGGCGACCACCUGGACUGAUACUGACGCUGAGGUACGAAAGCGUGGGGAGCAAACAGGAUUAGA
RNAcentral lists this ribosomal RNA (435 nucleotides) under uncultured bacterium. Its description in RNAcentral is "bacterial SSU rRNA". It matches the Rfam family "Bacterial small subunit ribosomal RNA", at positions 355 to 782 of the family's 1533-position model. The record is from RNAcentral.